Molecule: long non-coding RNA, 214 nt
Filed under: Trifolium pratense (red clover)
Lineage: Eukaryota; Viridiplantae; Streptophyta; Magnoliopsida; Fabales; Fabaceae
Description: long non-coding RNA (TPRA_LNC007269)
Source: RNAcentral
GUAAAGGUAAUGACCCGUAGUGGAAUCCCCAUUUCUUUAAAAAAAAAACUGGAAACCAUACAUACCACUACGGAUAUGCGUAAAUACCCGUAGUGGAAUCCCCAAUUCUUUAAAAAAAACACAGGAAAACCAUACAUACCACUACGGAUAUGUAUAAAUACCCGUAGUGGAAUCCCCAUGAUUUAUAUUAAAAAAAUUUGAAACCAUACAUACC